Molecule: ribosomal RNA, 253 nt
Filed under: uncultured bacterium
Lineage: Bacteria
Description: partial 16S ribosomal RNA
Rfam family: Bacterial small subunit ribosomal RNA
Source: RNAcentral
UACGAAGGGGGCUAGCGUUGUUCGGAAUUACUGGGCGUAAAGCGUGCGCAGGCGGCUUCUCAAGUCAGGGGUGAAAGCCCAGAGCUCAACUCUGGAAUUGCCUUUGAGACUGAGUGGCUUGAGUAUGGGAGAGGUGAGUGGAAUUCCCAGUGUAGAGGUGAAAUUCGUAGAUAUUGGGAAGAACACCGGUGGCGAAGGCGGCUCACUGGCCCGUAACUGACGCUCAUGCACGACAGCGUGGGGAUCAAACAGG